Manis javanica (Malayan pangolin) is the source of this 552-nucleotide long non-coding RNA. RefSeq lists it as uncharacterized. The record is from RefSeq and is a predicted model, not a curated record. NCBI's taxonomy places the organism in Eukaryota, Metazoa, Chordata, Mammalia, Pholidota, Manidae.
CAGAGAUGCUUGUGGUUUUGCGGUAGCUUGCUUGUCCAGAACUGCAGUUCUCUGCUCUUCCUGAAUAAACCCAGUUUGCUGGUAAAAUAACUGACAGCUUUAUUUUUAAGAAGAGGAAAUCGGAAGGACCUGCUCUAGCCGGCCUGGAAGAAAGCAAACAUCUGUGUGCAACUGCCUGUGGGGGCCAUUUGGCAAGUUACUGCUGGUGGCAUCUAGUAGCUGAGAGCAGUCUCCAUUGGACAGCUAGCAAGAAAACGAGGUCCACAGUUGAACAAUGGCUAAGAACCUGAAUGAGAAGUUGAGACUCAAAGAGAAGAAAAUGGAGCUGAACCGGAUUUGCUUGUCCUGAUGCCCCUCUAAACGGGGGCUCCUGUGUUGGCGGGAUUCAAGUAUCUUCAGGGGACUGCCUCUAUCAGAUGCAUCUGGAUGCCAUAAAAAUGCAUAUGCCUUGCGAUUCUGAGCCAGCAAGGUUGGCAGUGGGUUGUGAGAAUCUGCGUUUUACCAAGUAUUCCUAGCUGAUCCUCAUUUACACACAAGGGAGCCCAUUAGAGC